UCAGAUAAAUGGUAAUGUAUAUACAUUGUUUACACAUAUAAUGAACAGAGAGAAUAUCAAAUGUGAUGAGUAGUGGAAUAGGGAUACCACCUCACUCUACGCCGCUGGGAGACUGACGGUACAUGUCCACCAGAUCAGGCCUGGAAACCAAGUUAUACCUUGAGGCAACACUCCUAAUGUAAAACGGACCACUUGGAAAGAGAUACAGUGUGACACCUGUGAAAGAUGGUUCCAUGAGCAGUGCCUGGGGAUGAAUCAGGACCAACUCCAAGAAGCCAGGGCAAGCAAUUGGAAUUGCUUUCUCUGCAACUAGGGCAGAAGAACAUGGCAGUGUCAUAUGUCUAUGGAAGAAAUGUUUUUUAGACCACAUUAAAGU
Gymnodraco acuticeps is the source of this 376-nucleotide RNA transcript. It is a transcript of the gene named lysine-specific demethylase 5B-B-like, with no coding region annotated. The record is from RefSeq and is a predicted model, not a curated record. Lineage: Eukaryota; Metazoa; Chordata; Actinopteri; Perciformes; Bathydraconidae. The transcript has 2 exons.